UUCAAACGAGAGUUUGAUCCUGGCUCAGAAUCAACGCUGGCGGCGUGCCUAACACAUGCAAGUCGAACGGGAAAGUGGAGCAAUCCACGAGUAUAGUGGCGAACGGGUGAGUAACACGUGACUACCUGCCUUCGAGUGGGGGAUAACCCCGGGAAACCGGGGCUAAUACCGCAUAACAUCGCAAGAUCAAAGCAGUAAUGCGCUGGAAGAGGGGGUCGCGGCUGAUUAGCUAGUUGGUAGGGUAAUGGCCUACCAAGGCGAAGAUCGGUAGCCGGCCUGAGAGGGCGCACGGCCACACU
This 299-nucleotide ribosomal RNA is filed under the name Terriglobales bacterium. RNAcentral describes it as "Acidobacteriales bacterium (groundwater metagenome) partial 16S ribosomal RNA". It matches the Rfam family "Bacterial small subunit ribosomal RNA", at positions 1 to 314 of the family's 1533-position model. The record is from RNAcentral. Lineage: Bacteria; Pseudomonadati; Acidobacteriota; Terriglobia; Terriglobales.